CGAUAUUCGUGAAUCAUCGAAUCUUUGCAUCGAUGAACCGCACAUUGCGCCCUUUGGUAUUCCAAAGGGCAUGCCUGUUUGAGCGUCAUUUCUCCCUCAAACCCCCGGGUUUGGUGUUGAGCAAUACGCUAGGUUUGUUUGAAAGAAUUUACGUGGAAACUUAUUUUAAGCGACUUAAGUUUAUCCAAAACGCUUAUUUUGCUAGUGGCCCCCACAAUUUUUUUCAUAAAUUUGACCUCAAAUCAGGGAGGACAACCCCCUGAAAUUAAGCAUAUCACAAACGGGAGGAAAA
Molecule: unclassified non-coding RNA, 292 nt
Filed under: uncultured fungus
Lineage: Eukaryota; Fungi
Description: sequence contains ITS1
Rfam family: 5.8S ribosomal RNA (bases 1-88)
Source: RNAcentral